RNAcentral lists this transfer RNA (73 nucleotides) under Patescibacteria group bacterium. Its description in RNAcentral is "tRNA-Thr". It matches the Rfam family "tRNA". Rfam says of the family: Transfer RNA (tRNA) molecules are approximately 80 nucleotides in length. Their secondary structure includes four short double-helical elements and three loops (D, anti-codon, and T loops). The record is from RNAcentral. RNAcentral also lists the same sequence under 1 other name.
GCCAGAGUAGCUCAGUUGGUAGAGCACGGCUUUCGUAAAGCUGAGGUCGAGAGUUCGAUUCUCUCCUCUGGCU